Molecule: ribosomal RNA, 497 nt
Filed under: uncultured bacterium
Lineage: Bacteria
Description: partial 16S ribosomal RNA
Rfam family: Bacterial small subunit ribosomal RNA
Source: RNAcentral
GAUGAACGCUGGCGGCGUGCCUAAUACAUGCAAGUCGAGCGAACAGACGAGGAGCUUGCUCCUCUGACGUUAGCGGCGGAUGGGUGAGUAACACGUGGAUAACCUACCUAUAAGACUGGGAUAACUUCGGGAAACCGGAGCUAAUACCGGAUAAUAUAUUGAACCGCAUGGUUCAAUAGUGAAAGACGGUUUUGCUGUCACUUAUAGAUGGAUCCGCGCCGCAUUAGCUAGUUGGUAAGGUAACGGCUUACCAAGGCAACGAUGCGUAGCCGACCUGAGAGGGUGAUCGGCCACACUGGAACUGAGACACGGUCCAGACUCCUACGGGAGGCAGCAGUAGGGAAUCUUCCGCAAUGGGCGAAAGCCUGACGGAGCAACGCCACGUGAGUGAUGAAGGUCUUCGGAUCGUAAAACUCUGUUAUUAGGGAAGAACAAAUGUGUAAGUAACUAUGCACGUCUUGACGGUACCUAAUCAGAAAGCCACGGCUAACUACGUG